AAUCCGUGAUGUGGACAGUCCCUCUGAUAUCCCUUGAACCUCUCCCACGCAGCCUUGAAUGCUUCUGUCAGACCCUGAACAAACGUGGAGAUCUUAGUGCGAAGAUC
Molecule: non-coding RNA, 107 nt
Organism: Arabis alpina (gray rockcress)
Lineage: Eukaryota; Viridiplantae; Streptophyta; Magnoliopsida; Brassicales; Brassicaceae
Source: Rfam